This 3537-nucleotide long non-coding RNA is filed under the name Anas zonorhyncha (Eastern spot-billed duck). RNAcentral describes it as "lncRNA (ENSAZOG00000003562.1)". The record is from RNAcentral. Lineage: Eukaryota; Metazoa; Chordata; Aves; Anseriformes; Anatidae.
CCGCCGGAGCCGCAGAGUUGUCUCAUGCAUGAAAGGGAAAAAACGAAGCCUCCCGGGGGAUUUGCUCCGAGCACGGGUUUCCUCUGCUGCCGAUUCCCCCGGCGUCGUCGGGGUGGGAGGCUCGGGUUGGAGGCGCCGCGACCUUUUCGCCGUGCGGCCCCGGCUCCGGCGUUGGCAUCCAGCGGUGGCGAGGAGAGAAGGGGGACGGUUUCAGAGCCGGAGGGCUACAAACCAUCCGGCCACCUCAAGGCCUCGGGGACGGACACCUCGGCGGGGCAAAAAAAAAGGAGAGGGUGGCAAAAAAAAACAAAAAAAGGCCGCGGGAGCGAGCGCCCCGAAAAAGCAAAGUCACCCCAAAAGCAAGCGGAGAGGAGCCGGAGGAUCCCCGGCCUCCGUGCAAAGAGGGUUGGAAGGCUUCGAGGGAGGCUAACGGGGGCCAGGCUCUCCGCCUGCUUCGCGUUUUGGAGCCUUUGCUACCAUCUGCACCAAGUGGUAUAUUCCUCCGGGCUGGCUCUUCCCCAUAUUUCUCCGCCGAAUGGCUUUAAAAAACCACUCAGCACGCUGUAAAUAAUUUACUAAAGCUACCUUUCCAGGCAGGCGGAUCACGGGCUUGUCCCGGGGACGUUAUUUGAUCAGAGCUGGGACAGGCAGAGUUCCCGAACUGCGAUGGGAAGGGAGUUGUCCCAGGAGACAGCUUCUGUUUGCAGCCAUCCGAGGUUGAUGAUCGGUUGCUUUUAUAAAGUUCCUAUCAUGGGAGCAUUUAGAAGGAAAUAGUGUGCUGCUACAGCGACUUGGCUCAGCUUUUUAUUUUAUUUUUUUCCCCAAAUUGUUUCAGAAAUAAUUUUAGGAGGGAUUUUUAUCUCCUUUGCAGACUUGAGCUAUUGUUCCAGCUUUGUUUAACGUUAUUACGGGUUUGAUUCCCUUAGGAAAGAAGGAGAUUAUUCAGAAAACCAGCUCCUUCAGGAUAACGUCCAUACAAAUAAUGUUCUUCCGUGCUUGUGCUCUCAAUUUUAUGGUUAUACUUUGUGGAUUCUUCUGGUUUAUGCAGUUAACGUGGGGCCAUCUGACUUUCAGGAUGGGAUGUGAGCUCAAGGGGACAGUUGAGCUCAUAAAAGGUACUUUUAGAGAGACAGAAAGUGGUACCAGACCUAAGAAAACUGCCUCCUGCUCCUGGAUUUGUUUCUGGCAGGAAUUGAGUAAUGGGGCAACAGGAACUGCCUUGAAAGCCGCUGAGGAAACGCGUUACAAAACGAGACUCGCAGAGCCACUCGCCCUCUUCUCUGGGUUAAUCCGAAGGUGCAAAUUCCCUCGUUCAGCUGCACGUCUCAUAAUUACCCUGACUGUGCAGCUAUUUCACUCGUGCUGUUGCCGAAACCCUACUGCACACAACAAAGACUUUAAAUGAGGGACCGAACUUGCCCAUUCUUGCAGGAGGCUAAAAACAGCUGUGGGUUACCCCACUUAGCACCACUUCUGCAGCUCAGCUUUGGGAAUCUCUCUCCUGCAAAGCGUUUUCAACGAUUAGGACCCACGUAUGAGAAAUAAGGAGCUGAUGUGUGAAGUUAAGGGAGAUGAUUGUGAGACGGAGUCUGUCAUGAGCAGAUCCUCCUCCUUGUGCCACGUUAGGGUGGGAGACCUGGUCGCGAUGGGGCUUGGGCACAGGGAAAAGCACAUCCCAAAACCACAAAAUGGUUGACGGGGACCUCUGGAGGCCAUCUGGUUCACCCCCCCUUGCUCGAGUGGGGACACCCAGAGCAGCUGGCACUGGGCACCAGUGGAGCAGAGCCCGGCUCUGUCCUCUCAGCAUCUCCUCUCAAAUAUUGAUGGAUACGGACCAGCCCCUCUUCUCCAACCUGAUCAGGCCUGGCUCUCCCAACCUCUCCUCACAGGAGAGAGAUUCUUGGUGGCCCUCCAUUGGACUCUCACAGAAUUUCUAGGUUGGAAGAGACCUCAAGAUCAUCGAGUCCAGGUCUCUGGACCUAGGUGGAGUUGAGGGAGCUGGGAUCAUGGAAGGGUUGGGAGAGGGACAAGGGGAGCUGGUGGGACAAGAGAUGGGAUGGAGCCAGCUGGGGCAGGUGACAGGGUCAGGUAACUUGAUGUAGCGAGGUGAGGGUUGGUCUAUUCCCCCAUGUGACAGGAUGAGAGGAAAUGGGCUAAAGUUGCGCCAGGAGAGGUUUAGGUUGGAUGUUAGGAAGAACUUCUUCACAGAAAGGGUUGUGAGGCCUUGGGAUGGGCUGCCCUGGUUGUGUCACCAGCCCUGGAGGUCUUUAAAAGACGUUUAGAUGUAGAGCUCAGUGAUGUGGUUUAGGGGAGGACUGGUUAGGGUUAGGUCAGGGUGAUCUUGGGACUGGGUGAUCUUGGAGGGCUCUUCCAACCUAGAAAUUCUGUGAUUUUGUGAUUCUGUAACAGAGGCCAAGUGACAGAGGCCAGGUGACAGUGACCAAGUGACAGUUGAUAGAGGCCAAGUAACAGACACCAAGUAACAGAGGCCAAGUGACAGCUGACUGAUGGCAGGUAACAAAGGCCAAGUGACAAAGGCCAGGUGACAACUGACUGAGGCCAGGUGACAGAGGCCAGGUGACACUCAAUAGAGGCCAUGUAACAGUUAACUGAGGCCAGGGGACAGUUGACAAAGGCCUGGUGACUGAGGCCAGGUGAUAGUUGAUAGAGGCCAAGUAACAGAGGCCAGGUGACAGUGACCAAGGAACAGUUGAUAGAGGCCAGGUAACACACGUCAAGUGACAGAGGCCAGGUGACAGUGGCCAGGUGACAGUUGACUGAGGCUGGGUAACAGAGGCCAGGUGACACUUGACAGAGGCCAGGUGACAGUUAACUGAGGCCAGGGGACAACUGGAAGAGGCCAGGGGACAACUGACAGNNNNNNNNNNUGACUGAGGCCAGGUAACAGAGGCCAAGUGACAAUUGAUAGAGGCCAAGUAACAGAGGCCAGGUGACAGUGACCAAGUGACAGUGGCCAAGGAACAGUUGAUAGAGGCCAAGUAACACACGUCAAGUGACAGAGGCCAGGUGACAGUGGCCAGGUGACAGUUGACUGAGGCUGGGUAACAGAGACCAGGUGACACUUGACAGAGGCCAAGUAACAGAGGCCAGGUGACAACUGACAGAGGCCAUGUAACAGUUAACUGAGGCCAGGGGACAGCUGACUGAGGCCAGGUAACAGAGGCCAAGUGACAAUUGAUAGAGGCCAAGUAACAGAGGCCAGGUGACAACUGACAGAGGCCAUGUAACAGUUAACUGAGGCCAGGGGACAACUGACAUAGGCCAGGGGACAGAGGCCGGGUGACCGAGGCCACCUAUGAGGGGACCCCAACCCCCCUGAGCCCUCCUCAGGCUCCGGCGGCGCGCACCAGGCCGCAGGGCCCGGCCCCCGUUGCUAGGCAACGGCGGGGGCGCGCGCGCGCGGUGCGGGCCGCGUCACGUGAGCGCGCGCGCGGUCACGUGAGCGGGGCUCAACGGGCGGCGCGCGGCGAUGACGUCAGCGGCGGCGGGGGCGAGCGGCGGGGAUGGAGGAGAGCG